UCCAUGGAGGACUAGUGGUUAGGCCUUGGCGCUCUAACCGCCACGGCCUGGGUUCGAUUCCCAGCCAGGGAG
Non-coding RNA from Pangasianodon gigas (Mekong giant catfish), 72 nucleotides. NCBI's taxonomy places the organism in Eukaryota, Metazoa, Chordata, Actinopteri, Siluriformes, Pangasiidae. The record is from the annotation of a GenBank genome assembly.